RNAcentral lists this ribosomal RNA (253 nucleotides) under uncultured bacterium. RNAcentral's name for it is "partial 16S ribosomal RNA". It matches the Rfam family "Bacterial small subunit ribosomal RNA", at positions 524 to 776 of the family's 1533-position model. The record is from RNAcentral.
UACGAAGGGGGCUAGCGUUGUUCGGAAUUACUGGGCGUAAAGGGCGCGUAGGCGGUCUUGUCAGUCGGAAGUGAAAGCCCCGGGCUCAACCUGGGAAUUGCUUUCGAUACUGCAAGACUUGAGUUCCGGAGAGGAUGGUGGAAUUCCCAGUGUAGAGGUGAAAUUCGUAGAUAUUGGGAAGAACACCGGUGGCGAAGGCGGCCAUCUGGACGGACACUGACGCUGAGGCGCGAAAGCGUGGGGAGCAAACAGG